GAUCUACUCCCUUCGUCCGAAAAAAUUUGUCUUUUAAAUGAAUGUAUAUAGCACUGAAUUGAUACUAGAUACAUCCAUUUGAGGGACAAGCUUGAGACAAGCUUUUUCGGAUGGAGGAAGUACAAU
This is a non-coding RNA of Triticum aestivum (bread wheat), 126 nucleotides long. NCBI's taxonomy places the organism in Eukaryota, Viridiplantae, Streptophyta, Magnoliopsida, Poales, Poaceae. The record is from Rfam.